Non-coding RNA from Podarcis lilfordi (Lilford's wall lizard), 69 nucleotides. NCBI's taxonomy places the organism in Eukaryota, Metazoa, Chordata, Lepidosauria, Squamata, Lacertidae. The record is from the annotation of a GenBank genome assembly.
GGAUAGCUCAGUCGGCAGAACACGAGACUCUGAAUCUCAAAGUUGUGGGUUUGACCCCCACAUUGGACA